RNAcentral lists this long non-coding RNA (718 nucleotides) under Gallus gallus (chicken). RNAcentral describes it as "lncRNA (ENSGALG00010025179.1)". The record is from RNAcentral. Lineage: Eukaryota; Metazoa; Chordata; Aves; Galliformes; Phasianidae.
CCCUGCGGAGCCAGGCUUUCUGCUGUGACAGAGGCGAGGGGCCACAGGAGGCAGCAGUCCUUGCCAGAAACGGCCUCAGCCCCCUCCACGCCCCAGCUCACCGCGAGCUCCCCAUGCCGGCUGUGCCUCUCCCUUUCCAGAGCAAGGCGACACCAAACCCCCGCCGGGUCACAUCCUGUCUUCUUCAGAAUGGUCUUUGCACUGCUGCUAGGGACAGGGGCUACCAGAGCAAAAGGACAACGGAGGAGAACACUUAAGCCCAGUUUCCAGAAGCAUCUAAAAACUAGGUUUAACUGAAAGCCAUUAAGAGGGAAACAGCUUCAUCCAACUCCUCUGCCCACCAACCUGUGCUACACGUAUUCCAGGCUCAUCCCACACCUAUGCUGCGUUAGAGUGCAACUCAAACAAUAGGAGGGAAGGGCUCUCAUCCUGCACUAAGCCUUGAAACACAGCACAGAGAAGGCAGGCAGUGUACUUGCAGAGGAAUACUGGGAGCGGUAGGACUCUCACUACACACUCCCUGAGCAGCGAGGGCAGAAUGUAGAGAAAAAGAUUAUACCAGCAAGAUGUCAUGUGAAACCACAAUGCUGGAAAAAAAAACCUGUUUUUGGUGUUUGAAUUAAUGAUCUCAAAUGGAAUAAACAUUAUUCAGUUAAAAACAUUUUUUUUCCCCCCAAAAAUGUUUGAUUUCUUUAAACUCCAUCUGAAAAUGCUCAAC